RNAcentral lists this ribosomal RNA (458 nucleotides) under uncultured Acidovorax sp. Its description in RNAcentral is "bacterial SSU rRNA". It matches the Rfam family "Bacterial small subunit ribosomal RNA", at positions 923 to 1382 of the family's 1533-position model. Lineage: Bacteria; Pseudomonadati; Pseudomonadota; Betaproteobacteria; Burkholderiales; Comamonadaceae. The record is from RNAcentral.
GCACAAGCGGUGGAUGAUGUGGUUUAAUUCGAUGCAACGCGAAAACCUUACCCACCUUUGACAUGUACGGAAUCCUUUAGAGAUAGAGGAGUGCUCGAAAGAGAACCGUAACACAGGUGCUGCAUGGCUGUCGUCAGCUCGUGUCGUGAGAUGUUGGGUUAAGUCCCGCAACGAGCGCAACCCUUGUCAUUAGUUGCUACAUUCAGUUGGGCACUCUAAUGAGACUGCCGGUGACAAACCGGAGGAAGGUGGGGAUGACGUCAAGUCCUCAUGGCCCUUAUAGGUGGGGCUACACACGUCAUACAAUGGAUGGUACAAAGGGUCGCCAACCCGCGAGGGGGAGCCAAUCCCAUAAAGCCAUUCGUAGUCCGGAUCGCAGUCUGCAACUCGACUGCGUGAAGUCGGAAUCGCUAGUAAUCGUGAAUCAGAAUGUCACGGUGAAUACGUUCCCGGGCCUU